This 301-nucleotide ribosomal RNA is filed under the name uncultured bacterium. RNAcentral's name for it is "partial 16S ribosomal RNA". It matches the Rfam family "Bacterial small subunit ribosomal RNA", at positions 509 to 807 of the family's 1533-position model. The record is from RNAcentral.
CAGCCGCCGCGGUAAUACGUAGGUGGCGAGCGUUGUCCGGAUUUAUUGGGCGUAAAGGGAGUGUAGGCGGUCUUUUAAGUCUGAUGUGAAAGCCCACGGCUCAACCGGGGAGGGUCAUUGGAAACUGGGAAACUUGAGUGCAGAAGAGGAGAGUGGAAUUCCACGCGUAGCGGUGAAAUGCGUAGAGAUGUGGAGGAACACCAGUGGCGAAGGCGACUCUCUGGUCUGUAACUGACGCUGAGGAGCGAAAGCGUGGGGAGCGAACAGGAUUAGAUACCCCCGUAGUCCCUGUCUCUUAUAC